AACCCGCAGGUGCUCUGUUCUGGAUCGAACGCAGCGGCGAGCCUUUUAAACACCUUCGAGGAGUCACGUGACACUCGUGACGCGUCAUUCAGCGCAUAAAUUAACGCCUCUACCGACUUUACUGAUAAAACAUGAAACCUGUUUUCCAAAUUUGAACUUUCAUUGUUUCCGGUUUAUGUUUAAAAAUGUGCAGGUAAAUGCUGCUAAACGUUCACCAACUAGUACAAGAAAAUACUAAUAUUAAUAAUAAUAUCUUUUGUAUUUUCUCUUGUUCAAACUUGUUGAGUUAUAGAGGUCUGGUGUUGAUUUGUAUUUCAGAAUUAUUUACUCUUUAAAAUAUUUUGAAAGGCAUUUCUAUUGUGACAACUUAUGUAAUGACAACAUACCAAUACUUUAAGGUUCACGUGUACACAACAGUCUUCAGAGAGCAUCAGGCAUCUCUUCUAUCACACAUCCUCGGUAUCCUGACACAUGUCAGCAUGAGAGCAGUUUGAAACCACUUUCAGUUCCUUUGUCAUGUGAAUGCCAUUUGUAUUAAAGUUACCCUCUGGGUGUCAGGCUCUCAGUUGAUU
Molecule: long non-coding RNA, 572 nt
Organism: Carassius gibelio (silver crucian carp)
Lineage: Eukaryota; Metazoa; Chordata; Actinopteri; Cypriniformes; Cyprinidae
Exons: 3
Source: RefSeq, a predicted model, not a curated record